CAUCCUAAUAAUCAAAAGCUGAUGGCACAGGUUCUUUGUGAACUAUUUCAGACAUCUCCUCAAAGAGGGAACCUUCCAACAUCUGGGAACAUUUCAGGGUUUAUACGAAGAUUAUUUUUACAGUUGAUGCUGGAAGAUGAGAAAGUGACAAUGUUUCUUCAGUCUCCAUGUCCACUGUACAAAGGUAGAAUUAAUGCUACUAGCCACGUCAUCCAGCAUCCAAUGUAUGGAGCAGGCCACAAAUUCCGUACUCUUCAUUUGCCAGUCUCAACAACAUUAUCAGAUGUUCUUGACAGAGUGUCAGGCAAGUCAGAUUUAAGUAUUAGUUUUUGUUUAACUUUAUGUUUGAUGUAUAUGGAGGUUUAUUGUUUUUAUAACUUUAUUUUCGGCAUCCACUUUGCAACCAUUGAUGACUAGGAAAGUUCAAGACAUCUUUAUAGUUUGAAGCAUAAGAAGCCAGUCAAGUGGACAAAAUGUAAAAUACUUUUAGGCACCCCUAAUUUUUUGGUUUAUUGUGGCACAGUGACAAAUGGGCAGCUAGAAAUACAGACAAAUAAUUGAUGGCAUGUUCUCACAA
This 577-nucleotide small RNA is filed under the name Pan troglodytes (chimpanzee). RNAcentral's name for it is "retained intron". Lineage: Eukaryota; Metazoa; Chordata; Mammalia; Primates; Hominidae. The record is from RNAcentral.